Pan troglodytes (chimpanzee) is the source of this 21079-nucleotide RNA transcript. It is a transcript of the gene named family with sequence similarity 174 member B, with no coding region annotated. The transcript is spliced from 6 exons. NCBI's taxonomy places the organism in Eukaryota, Metazoa, Chordata, Mammalia, Primates, Hominidae. The record is from RefSeq and is marked provisional.
UUCCCUCCCUCCCUUCCUUUCUUCUCCUCUCUCCUCACCUUCCCUCCCUCCCUCUCCCUCCCUCUCCCUUCCUUCUCCCUCCUUCCUCCCUUCUCCCCUCUUCCUCUUUCUCUCCCUCCCUCUCUCCCUCUCCAUUCUCUCUCUCCUCCCCUCCUUCCCACCCACCCAUCCAUCCAUCCUUCACUCAUUCAUUUGCAAACAUGUAUUGAACUCCUAUUGUACCAGGCACUGUGCUAAUUGGAAGGCUCAAUAAAGUGAAUCUGGGGAGGACCAGGAUACAUCACUGCCAGGGAUGACAGAGAAUAAAGUGCUGUGAUAGGGACAUGGGGCAUCCGAUGCCUGACAAGAGAGGGACCGACUCUACCUGGACAAAGAGUGACCUCUGGCCUUGUGUGUGCCUUGCCAUUGUUUCCUCUACAAAAGUGGGUCAUCUGACCUGAUUUUUUCAGUUAAUUUUAUGAGCAUUUCCCCAUGACCAUUAAUAUUUAAAAUGGCCUUUUAAGAGACAGCCUUCCCAUUGUCUUUUGUGGGAUUGCACUACUGAGCGACCCGUCUCCAACCUGUAUUGGCAAAAGCUAUGGACGAGAGAGGCCUCAUGGAAAAGUACAAAGGGAGAGGCCUUGGGGUCUGACCUGGCUCCCAAGAGCUCAGAUUCCGGGUAGUCUCCUUUCCUCCCCCUUGUUCCUCGCCUUGGACCCCCUUUCACUCUUUCAGUCUGAACCUUAAGAGAAGGAUUCAGCCCACCUAGGUGCUGGGCCCCACUUGCUGUGACCCAUCAUUGUUUCUGCAUGGCGACCAGGGAGCACCUGCUCCCUGCCAAGCCCAGCGAUCAGGACCAGAGUAUGUGCAGUUCUGACCUGUGUUCUCCCCUCCCCUGGCAGAGAGAAGCUCAGUGACUGUCCUUGCGUCAUUUGAGCAGAGCCCACAAAAGGCAGCUGCUGCCCACGGGGAGCCUGUCAAACGAGGGCCCAGUGGGCAAUGUGAGCUGAAGUUCCUUGACCACAACAAGCCUACCAAACCCCACUGGCUUUCCCCCAACCACUGCAGGCUACAAGUCCCCCAGUGACCCUGAUGUGCAAUGAGUCUUCCUGAACCCUGUCCCUGAAGCAGCCAUCACGUGGGGUAUGGAUUCAAUUUUAUUUGCUCGCAGGUGUCUGUUUAAUUGGCCCAGCACCACUGCCUUUGGAUGCCGCUUGUGUCUGAGUCUACAUCAUUUGUCAGAGUUUUAUGUAUCUUUUUUCUGAGGUAGUAAUAGUCAUCCUCUGGAUGAGAUCCUAGAGCCUGGAAAGUUCCAACCUGAAAGUCUGUACCCAGGGACAGGACCCUGUUGGGCAGGAUGACAACGAGGAAGUUUCUAGAGUGGGCGUUCACCCUGGAGGGGCCCUUGGAGAUCAAGGAGUUCAGCGUCCUUGUUCCAUACCCAAGGACACAUGGGCUUGGAGAGUUCAUAUGAAUUGCAACCAUUUUCUCCACGGGAGGGAACACCGUCUCUGAGGCUGCUCAUCUGUCCUGGAGCCUUAAGCAAGUGUCUGUGGGAGGGCACUGGCUUCUUCUCCCUGCAGUUCUUCCUUCUAUACCUGUGUCUCGUGGCUUUCCUGCCCGCCUCAGAGGAGGAUAUCUGGGGCAUAUCAGGUAUACACAGUCACCCACAUUCAGACUAUGAAGGGCGUGGCCACUGCAUGCAGGACCAGAGAACGGAUUUGGACACGUCUGUAAAUAAGCCGCAGGUUCACAGCACAGUGCCUUUCAAGGGAAGCACUGUAAGCUCACUGAGCAAGGGACCCAAGAGUCAAACCCUGAAACGUCACCCUGAGGGGGACCGGGAAACAUUGUGUAGGGCGGUGACCCCAACUGGAUGGUCAGACCCAGUGUGGCCUCUGCCAUGGGGGUUCAGCUGCGUGUUUCUCGGUCUGGAGGCCCCAGCAGGGCCUACCCAAGCUGCGGGGAGGAGGCUCCCCUGCUGGGGGUUCUUUGACAGGGUGUUGGGUGUCAGAGGCCCAGGGCCAGAGCACCAGGGGCCCCAGUGGGAGGAGCCAGGUGUAGGGAUGCCACCAACCAGCCCAGCAGCGACUGCAGGAGGCCCGCGGAGCCUAAGUUAAGGUAGUGUGGAAACGUCUGGGAAGUCACCUCGGGAGCCUGGAUGGAACAUGCCAUGUUCUGAUUCAGUGGAUCUGCUGUCUGAGACGCUGCAUUUCCAACAAGUUCCCAGGAGUUGCUGGUGCCACUGCGCUAGGAAGCACAUCUUAAAGAGUGACACUUUUAGGCUACUUUUUUUUUCUACACCCUACUUCCAGCUUCUGAUUUCUAGCCCUGGAGGUGUAGGCCACAGCCCUGAGUAGCCCCUGCCCUACCUGCUUCUCUCCAGGGUUCCCCAGCCCUCCACUCUUCUCCCAGGGUCAUUCACAUCAUCUUUGAUUCGGGGUUUUGUCUGUCCCCCAAUCCCCCUCUCUUCUGCAGCACCUCUCAGAUAACCCCUGUAUUAAAAUCACAGUGACCAGACACACAUGCCCUGGCUGGGGGAUCACACAUGCGAACCUGCAGACAAUUCCAGAUACCCAAGGCCAGGAAGGCCCACGUGAGGAUGUCACCCACCCUGGAGGAGACUUGGGUGGGGUGGCAAAUUUCUAUUUGGAGGAAGAGGGUUUCCAGGAUGGCAGAUGCCAGAAGAUGGUCCUGAUGUCUGAGGAAGGGCCACCUAGUUUGAUAGGAUGGUAAGUCGUAAGCCCACUCAGAUAUUUGGCUGGGUCUUUCUGAUGAGUGGAAGAGACUUCAAAAAGUACUACAGAGUGUCCUUUCUUUCUCAGCAGCCAACAGGUGAAAAAACAGCUUUAUUCCGAAAGAAAAUGGUCUAGCCAUUGAGGAGGACGGAGUGUAUCCUGCAGGGCCUGCCUGGUCUUGCAGGACAGAUUGGCAGAGAGGAAGUCUUGCCAUGAUGUCCUGCCUGUCAAGUGUGAUGGGUAGGUCCCAGGGAAAACAGGCACUGCUGGGCUCCCCAGCAGCCAGUGCAUCAAGGAAAGACCAGGGCCCAGGGGGAAGUUAACACACAUAGAAAGAUGCUGCAUGUACUCAUGUGUGAGAUUGGGGUUCACUCUCGGCUAUAGAAAGAUGAGCUUUAGGCCAAAUAAUCACUCUCUAUACAGGGGAAUGAUGGCAGUGGCGCACUGUAUUUGGAAACUAGCUGGGCAGUGACAGAAAUUGGCCCAAGAGAGGUAUAGAUGCAGAGGAGAGGAAGAAAAGUAUUCUGAAACCCUCGAGUGCAAUGUCCACAAAGCAACAAGUUCAAACUUUCCAAGUCGAUGCAAAGAGUCCUGAGACGGGUGCAUGAGAACAGUAGACCUGCAGUUGGGGGAUUGCAGAUGCCAUGAGGAAUUGCAGACUUUUGUCCAUUGGAUUCUUGAGAUGUGUAAGGUUCCUUUUGUAUGUGGGGCUCUACAUAGUAUAUGAGAAAAGGUAAAUGGGUAGAUGGGCAGCUGAGUGGAUUCUCAGAAGGUCAGGAGGACAGCAGGGUGGUCCUUAGUCUGACCCCAAGGAAGAGCCAGCAAAGAGGACGGGCGGCAGGUGGGAGCUGCCUGGCUCAGGUCCCCUCAUAAGUGCUCUAAGUCAGGGGGUAUGGGGAUGGUUGCCGAGGGAGCAUUUUCGUGUGCCCCAUAUCACUGUCCAAUGAGACACACAGAGACCUCUCUUAGCCCAAAGCAACAAGGCAUGGCACUUCUGAACACUUGAGAGGACAGAGGAAAUUUGCACUCUAGAAAAGCAGCGUGAAAGUCAAGAGAUCCUCCUGCCUCUCUUCCCAAAGGGCUUUUCUGGCAGAUUUCCCUACCAGCUGACAUAUCCCAAGCCCCGCCUGCUUCUCUCCAGGGCUCCCCAGCCCUCCAAUCUCCUCCCAGCAUCAUUUGCAUCGUCUUUGAUUCAGGAUUUUGCCUGUCCUCUCCUCUCCUCUCCUUCCACAGUGAGAGGCUCACAGGUUCCCAUCACUUCUCCAGCCAUUCCAAGUCUUAGUCCUUCCUUUCCCCCCGACAGCCCCUGUUUCUGUCCAGGCCCUGAGAUCCUGCAGUUUCCUAACUGCUCUCUUGGCCUCUAGGCACUCUUUGCUCUGCUCUAGGGCCCCUCAGACACCUCUUUGGGGGCAUUUUUCUCAAGCACUAAUUUGGCCCAGGUCAAACAAACCUUUGGUGGUUCCCAGUUGCCAACAGGUUGAAAGUCCAAACUCUUUAACUUAGCUUUGCGGUUCUCUGAACCCUGCUCCCGGCUCUUCUUGCCUCUUCCUGCACUGGUUUCCGGCACAGCCAUUGCGUUUCUGCCUAGCUAACUUCUUCAAUUCAUCCUGAACGCACCAUGCUUCCCCCUCUGAUCUCCCAAUGCAUGGAUCUUUCCAGCCAAGGUCCAUUUCAGCUUCCAAAUCAAGUUCCACUUUUAAGUGGUGACAUUGCCUAUUGGGUGCCAGGCUCCCUUGGGAUUUAAGGUCUGGGGAAUUCAGAUGCAAUUCCACUUUGCAUGCUUUCCUCAGAGGCUUGUGACUGUGUGGCCGUCACAGCCUCCUGGUUUCUGCCUUCUGUACAUCUGUCUGCUCUGUUUACCCCAUCAUCUGGGUGUAAGAUGCAGUCAAAACUCAGCUACACGAAAUACUUAGGGGUCGUGUUUUGGUAUUGUGGAGAACUGGGGAUUUUCUGGAGAAACCCAGCCUUGUAUAUGGCAAACAUACGCGCACACACAAAUAUUUUUAAAAACAUUCUUCCUGCCCCCUUGCCACUGGAAUGUUCUCUUAGCCCCAGGUUGGCAUCCGGCCUCAAACUUUUGCUGCCGUGGCUCUUUUUGCUCACACUCUUCGACCUCUCACUCAAUGACUCCUCCCACCCCUUCUCCCAAGCCAACCCUCUGUACCCCCCACCGCCCCCCGAAAAAGAAAAAUCAAAAUCCAUCUGCUUGUCUCAUGCAGAUUAGUUCACCCUCUCCUCUGAGCCUUGGAAUAGAUCGCAUUAGAACUGUGGGACCUCACCUUCUGCCAUAUGCUCUGGUCAAACUCUCCCACCCUCACCCAGGCAAAUAGCAUUCUUUAAGAAGGCACCAGCUAUUCAGACAUGCCCCAUGUACUUGGUUAUGCCUGUGCAACAUCACUCCAUGGCUCCCUGGUUCAGCCUUUCCUGGGGUGGCCCAGUUUCAGGACGGGCCCAGACCGGACUGUUAAUUCUCUUUGUGCCAAGCCUUACGUCUUGCACUUGGGCAGUGGGGCAGUGACCACUUUUGAUAGGGACAAUGAUGGUAGUAUGAGGGCCCACCGCUGAGUCACUCUGGGAGCUUUUUUUGAGAGGAAGAUAGAGUCCACUACCUCUUUAAGAGUACUCUAAAAGUGCCAGAUGGCUCAGGUGCCUGAAAAGUCUCCUACAAAAGGAGGACACACAAGAAGAUGAAAACGCAGCCAGAUAAGGAGAGGGGCUCCCAGGAUCGCUGGAAGAAAGGGAAGUCCAUCACUGCAGAUAUAGUAGGGGGAAGCCCUGGGGCUGCCUGUCCCAAGUUUCAUUCAUUCAUUCAAAAGUGUGUGUCUGAGUCCUACUCUGUGUCAGGAACAAUUCUAGAAACUGGGAACACACCAGUGGACAAGACAGACUUGGUUUCUGCUUCCGUGGCGGUUAUACUAAGGGUCCUCCCUUAAAUCAGGAGACCACCCGUCAUAUUGUCUUAUGCCCAAUUUCUGCCUCCAAAGAAGUAAAAACUAAAAGGCAGAAAUGAAAUCCACAAGCAGACAGCCUGGCACCACACCCUGUGCCUGGUAGUUAAAGAUCGACCCCUGACCGAAUUGGUUAUUUGCAUAAAAAAGCGCCGUGAAGAUCCCUGUCCUGUCCUGUUCUAAUUACCCGUGUAUGCAUCCCCCAGUCACAUACCCCCUGCUUGAUCACGACCCUCUCAUGUGGACCCCCUUAGAGUUGUGAGCCCUUAAAAGGGACAGGAAUUGCUCACUCGGGGAGCUUGGCCCUUGAGACAGGAGUCUUGCUAAAGCUCCCAGCCGAAGAAACCCCUUCCUUCUUUAACUCAGUGUCUGAGGAGUUUUGUCUGCGGCUCUUCCUGCUACAAUACUAACCAAAAGACAGACAUCAAGCAAAUAAAAAUCUUGUGGUUGUGCCGAGAGCUCUAAGGGACAAUGGAGGGAUUGCCCAGUGUAACCCACAAGCUCAGGCCGUAGUCAGUACUGAAUCAAAUUCACAGGGACAGGAAGGGAUGUGGGUGGGGCCAGGGAUGACCAGGAGGGAGGCUCAGGAGAAAUGGCCAAGAGGUGAUAUGUGUCCCAAGUCCAUCAUGAGGGAAACCUUACUAACGAAGAGCCUGGAGCCAAUUCCCCAGGGCUAGAUACCCUCUCUGGGACUGGACUAAAUGAUUGCUAAGAGAUUCUUAAAGCUUCUUGCAAAGAAAUGCAGGCAGGAAAGAUGAUGAGUUUUAAUGGUUCUAAUUUGUAUUUUUUGCUUAUUUCACUUAGCAGGAAGAGGCUUCUGGCAUGGAAACAACUGAUUUCAUAGAGAACCUGCAGCUGGAUUCAAGUUCAACCCAGAAAAAUAGACAGUGAGGGCUACCUGAAGUUUGGGGAGGGAUUGCAUUUGUUCCAGCCUCAUGAGUCACACAAUAUUACACCAUCCUUGUGGGACAACUUCCAUAAGUCUUUUUGGGGCAGUUACCUGCCAGAGUUUCUUGUGGGGAAGGGCUUAGAGUAUGGCUCUUUCUUCGUAGGAAUAAUUUGAAGCCUGGGAUGCUGCUAUCAUUUUUACAGAGACUUUUUUCUUCUUCUGACAGACGCUGCUGGCAGUACCAGCCUGGGACACCAUAAUCCAAGUUCACAGCUUGAGUUUCCCUGGAUCAACCUGACAACACGAAGCUAAGUUCCAAGUCCAUGGAGGGUUGGUUUACUUCAGGCUCACCCUUAUUCUGAAAGUAUAGCCCUUCAGAGUUAGCAUAAAGGAGAUGAGGGGACCUAUUUGGGUCCCCAACUUUGGUGGCGCUGGGCCGUGACUUUUGUCUGUGAGCCAUCAGACGGGCAGUGCAUUUAUGAGCACAUUCAUUUGGAUCCACCAGUGGCCUCAAGGCGACAGUGGCUUUGAGCGCUGGGCUUACUGUCCUGCAUUCUCUUCUCUGUGACUGACUCUGCCCUGUCAUUCUUCACUGUCUUGUUAUUCUUGUUAUCUCUUAGAUGUCUUUAAGAAGACUGUUCUUUUUUUUUUUUCUUUUGAGAAAUGUGGCUUUGCUUUGUUGCCCAGGCUCCUGUGCUCAAGCGAUCCUCCUGUCUCAGCCUCCCAAAGUGCUGGGAUUACAGGCAUGAGCCACCGCGCCUGGCAUUUAUUUAUUUAUUUAUUUAUUUUCAAUAUCCCACCCUGCUUUCAUAACUGUCCUCAGAGGAUAGUUCCAAUGACCUUGUGGGCCAUUUCGAGAAGGGGAAAUCUUAGCUACUUUUCUCCACCUUUCCUUGUGGUGGGGCUUCUUGCCAGGCUGGGGAAAGUGGAGUGCAGCAGAGCCUGGGGGAGGGGAAAGGGCAGAGGGGAAUGUGGCUGUGCCCUAGGGUGUGAGCGGAGGAGGUGGGUGCUUCUGGUCUACCCAGAAGAGCCUCCAGAACCGGCAUCUACAUUCAUCUGCCACGGAGUCCAUGUUUCUUGAGGGGCUUGGCAGAUAGGGACAGCCCAGAAAGAGAGAGGAAGAGUCACGAAUGCCAGAGUGGCCUGCAGAACUCAGAGGAUCAGAGAGCGGGGGGGUCAAGCACCAGGGAGGCCCCUCUGCAGACCAUGCUGAUGGCCUGUGGGACAGAAGUCUUUCUUUCUUUGGUAACGAUUACCUUGGCCUUAGACUUUUACCAUUUUUGGAUGCCAAAGAAAAUCAGGCUUCUGAGCUUGCGAAGGCUGAGUGGAGUUCCAUGUGUCUCCUCUGGCCUUCAUAUGGCUUCCAGGAAGAAGCAUCCCCUUUAACUUCAUAAUUCCACAGGUCUUCUGUCAGUUUGUAAGAAAUCUGUCUAUUCACUUAUUCAUUCAUUUCACAAAUAUUUACUGAGCACCUGCUAUGUGCCAAGUCCUAUUCUGGGCACUGAGGACAUACCAGCCUCCAAAACAGACAGAAAGAAAAAGCCAGCCCAUGUAGAUUUCACAUUCUCAGGAAUGUUUUCCUGCAUGAGGAUAUGUUUAGAAAUCUUUCACCCACCUAAGUCAUCAGGGUAAGAGUUUGCUCUGCUAGUACUACAGAUUCCACAACUGCCUGCCAGGUUUACUUGCUUUUGUGCAAGGAAGAUUUUCUCUCCAGGACUCGUAUUUUCCAACAGCCCAAGGUCCAUGGAGUUUCUUUAGCUUCUAUCACUAGCCUUCUGGGAGUGGGCAGAUCCCUCUGCCAAGUUUACACCUGUAGGGUGAGGUGGGUUGCAUAGCAAACCAGAGCUCAGUGUUGGAGCCCACAAGGCUUCCAUCAAGGGAAGAAUGCUGGUGGAGGGUGACGGGUGGGUCUCUCUAGAUGUUCAGAGGGGCCUGUGGCUUAUUGCCUGGGUGGGCCAAAAUGUCAGCUAAGGGAACUACAGCAGAAGGUCAUUUAGCUGGAAUGUUAGGAUCUGAGACCAGGUAAUGACUUUGCUGGAGUUUAGAUGUCUGUCUAACUUCACAGGAGUACAGAGAUUGAAAAAACACUUGAUCCAGUCACAAUAUCUUCUGGAUACAUUCAUUUGCAUUCUCUUUCUCUUACACAGAUUAAGAAAUGGGAUGCAUAACAUAUUUGCAUGAUUGCAAUUUAUCACUUCCCCAGGGAGCAGGGAGGGGCUGCCUCAGUUCUAGUGAAGCCCCUGUGCCCCAGCAUUAGAGGUAGAUGGGUGAGGCAAGGGCGAUUUCAUGCCUUCCUUGAGGCAAGAUGUCCUCUUCUAGACAAGAGGGCAGCUUGUGUGUCUUGAGGGCCAUGCUUCUCCACCUACCCCCAUGAAUAAAGCAGUUAGUGGGGGUCCCCCAGGUAUGGCUAUUUUUGGGGAUUAUUUUAACAGGAAUACAGAGAGGCUAUAGAUCAGGUUCGACAAUUUGCUGCCUGCCAACACACACUUUACUUGUGUUUUAAAAUGUAAGCUCUGGAAACAUCCUAUGGGGUUCACAAGGAUGCCUUAGCAGCUGACUGAAGGAAGUGUCUUUCUCCAGCCCAGGUAGCAUUUCUGCCAGUCAUGGCUGGUGCUGGGCUGACAACAGUAGUUUUCUUUCUAAGACCCAGUUCCCCUCUGGAAGGAGAAUUCUAAAGGUGGAGGAAAAGCAUCAUCUCUUCUAGAACCUCUUUGUUUUUAUCUUUCUUAUACCACAUUAGCAUGGUGGUAUUCUCCAAGGAUCUUGGCAGGCAAGAACUGGUUUGGUUACUGUAUUUGAUUGCUUUUGUGGAGUCCAAUAAAGAGGACUAUUGUUUCUAGAAGGUCACUGGAAACAUGCAUCUGGCUCUUUGGUAAGCACAUUAAGACCAGUGUGAGGCUGAGGGUGUCCUGAAGCCCUGCUCUGAGAUAAGAAGACUUCUGUUCACGAUUUCAAUAAGAAUCAAACAAGGUAUGCCCAGAGCUGAGACACAGCUGAGCCAAGCAGGAAGAGAGGGCCGUGUCCUACAAUAAACUGCUGAUAUGUAUCUCUCUACCAUGUGCUGAAUUCAUUAGGGCAAGGGCUGGGUUCUUCUCCAGCAUUCGUAUCCCAUCCCUUUCCAGUAGCUGGACUACUUAGGACACUCUCAGUAAGUUUUUGUGAACUAAAUUGUAUCCUCAGAUACCUCCUUAGAAUUUCCAAAUCUGUCUUCAAAUUCAAAUGGAGAUACACAUAGCAGAGGCUGACACCUCCAAAAGAGUUUGGAGGAAGUUUACCUAAAUAUGUUACCUUCGUUUGCAUUUCCACCUUAUUCUCUCUUUCCCGCAGUUAUUAGUACUCAGAAUUGUAAGUGCUCGGGUGUCUAGUCACUCAGUUGACUGAUAGAAGAAAACUCAGUUCUUUGAGAUUAUGUCAGGGUGGACCAAACUGCGGUAACAAAUAGACCCAAAAUAUAAUGGUUCAAACACAAGAGAUGUUUAUUUCUUUCUCACAUAAUAUUCCAAGGCAGACAUUCCAGAUUGUUGGAGUAGGCGCAGGGAGAAAGUUCGGCUCUAUGCGUUCCCUCAGGAAACAGGCUGAUAGUGGCUUUGCCAUAUUCCAAUAUUAACUGGCUUCCAAAGUUGCUAUCACCAUUGUCAUUAUCAGUAUAGCUCAUGGGACCUGGGGAAGAACACAGAGGAGAACAUCUGGGAGGUCUUAUGGCCACUUGGAAGUGGCGUGCACCUCUUCUGCUCACAUGGGAAAGAACAUAGUCAGACACACUCAAACAUCCUGACUGGGAAGUGGGGGAGUGUACCUAGCCACCUUGGAAAUGGAGGAAAAUUUGGGUGGAAGUAGAGAGACUCAGGUUCUUGGAUUUGGAAGAGAUCUUAACUGUGAACGCAUCCAAUGGCCAACCCAGGAUAAGCACUGGCCUUCCUGCUGGAUUGCUCCCUGCCCCCAUCAUGUAUCUUGGCUGACUUUCUGAUCUAGGAAUACUAAGCAUCAAUCAGUGGAAGGAAAGCAGGAAGGGUCUCUUCUUUCAAAUACAUUCUUUGCCACUUGAUAAAAAAUGAUGAUACAGAAGAAGGAGAAAAUAAAUCCAGAGAAGCUGCCUGCAUGGGGAAACUCAUUCUUUGUGGCCCUGUGAGGCUGAGAUUGUGCCUCACAGAAGGGGCUACGUCACUGAUGAUGUUACAGGAUCUCUAAAAACCACAGUUACUGCUUGAAUCAUAACUGCUGCUUCCAGUUGGCUGUGGUUGCAUUUCUAGAAGGAUAACUACUUUUUGUCAUUCUGGAGACAAGCCAACAUCAACCCACACAUGACUUUAGAACGCUUUUCCACGUCCUAAUUGCCUACCUCCUGAAUAGGCUUUCUUUUAAGCUUGGUUGGCUUGACUUCUCCCAUCCAUCCCAUUUCUACACACCCUCUCCAUACCCCCACUAUAACUUUCUCAGGCAAACCCUGCAGUCCUGACUCGCUGGUAUCUGUUGAUUGUGUUUGGACUCUCAUGUCCUGCCACUGCCCUUGAGCUCUUAUUUCACCUUGUGCAGACCACCCCAGUCAUCUCACCCUCUCUCUAGGUCACUUGUGGGCACUUAUCCAUUGCCUGGAUUAUUGCAUAUGUUUGUUCAAUAUUAAUCAUGUCUUCUCUGUGAUGUUGUAUACUCCUUGAGCAUUUGGGACUUUCUCAGGCUUGAGCGUGGUGCAGUGAGCAUUCUGUACACAUUUCUGGACAGUGCAGUCUUGUGAGAAUCUGGGAGACUCUGCAGUGACUUGAGCCGGAGAUGCAGAUGAAUGUAAUUGUUGGAUGGUGGGGAUUGAUAAAACUUCUCUUACUGGUGGCUAGGAGCAGAAGAGGAGACUCAGCAGCAGGAGAGAACAACAAGAGGAAGGGCUCCCAACUACACUCAGCAUCAGUGAACCCCACCGUAGCUGGAUCAUAUCUGAAUUGGCCACACUCUGGGGCCUUAGACUGUCUGGGCAAUGGCAGGGUGCUGGCAGUUGGAGGGAUGCUGCUAGAGGCUGACAGUGUUCUUACUGGAAACACUCAGCUCAAUGGAUAGGACAACAGCUUCCCAAGGAGAUUGGGGAGCAAGGCCAAGCGAGGAAAGCAGGACUUGCGGAGGGCUUUGGGCCGCCUCACCUACUUUCCCUGCUUCUUCGCCCCAGGGGCCUUGCAGACAGUGCUUCUUGCCCAGAGAGAGUAAAGGGUGGGAUGGGGAGAGGGCAUCAUUCAUUUCUUGUGUCUGAGGUGAACGAGUGUGAGAUGAGCUGCGGCUCACUCUCUUCAAGCUGGAACUUAAAGGACUCCCAGCUGCCCCUACACUCCAGUCAUUCAUGGAGUGAGUGCCAAGCUCAUCUCUAUUUGAAACUCAGGGUCUGUCUGGGAGCCCAGAAUUCCUGAGCAAUUGUUUUAUGAGGUGUAAAGUGUUUCUUCAGCAGGGAGGAUGAUGCGGGGCAAGGCGAAGGCUUAGAAAAGACAGUUCUACUGUGCAAAUUGACUACAGACCUGGAUAGGAAAUAGGGAAACAAGCCACAUGCCUCAUAGCAGGUUCCCUGGGAAAUUCCCUCCUCUCCUAAUGUCUUUCCUACAGGCACCCCCCAUCCUGGUGGGCUAUGAGAUUUUGCCCCCUCAACCUGAGAACUGACAGGGGGUAAUCAGGGUGAGCGCUGGAGAAGCACAAGUGAGAUUCUGAAGAAGCGCAAGUGAGACUCUGGAGACCUCUGUAGCGUGAACUCUCUGCUGAGACCGUUCAACUUGUGCCUUUCUUAUGGCCCAAGUUCCAGCAGCACAUUUUCCAGUGUGGGAUCCCACACUGGAAAUCUGGCACACCCAGCUCUGCCAGAGCCCUGGGUGUUUACUGUGACACACCAUAGAGAAACGGGGAAGGAAGUCAAGUCCAUCAUGACAUGUCUUAGUUCUGGCCAUUUCUAACACCUAAGAAGAGGCUGACAGAGUGCCCGAGGGCCCCAGGGACACCACCCAUCUCCCAAGGGGGUGCUUUUUAGAGUUCUCCUUGCCACCCAGCUGUGAGGUAUGAAAUAAUUUAGUAGGCCUUGCACCAUUGAGAAUAAAAGGAGAAUAGACAAUUUCAGCACGCCUGGCACAUAGCAGGGUAAGUAUUGUUUGGUGAAACUUACAUUUCCUCUUUAGGUACACCAAUAGGUGCAACGCGUACCCACAUAAGAUGUAUUUCUUAUUGUGGUCCUGGUUAAAAAAAGCGUCUAAGUGGUUCUAUUACAGCAUCUCAGCUGAUUCCAAGUAUUCAGGGAAUGAGGGUGGAGCACAGAAUGGGAGUGGGGAGGAAGGUCCCAAAGAACGGGUUGAACUUUGCUGCCUCCUGAGCUAAACGUAGUCUCCCCACCUCCUUGAGGAUUUAAGGGCCUUUGACUCAGCCUUUUGGGACCUGAGAGACCACCAUAAGCCUUGUGCGUUGAAUACUUCUUGCAGCAGGCCCUGCCAAAAGUACCUGGAUGGGAAGGGCUGCCCUUUAAGAACUUGAAUUUAAAGGACUUCAGUGGUUAGUUGUAAAAGUAAAUGACGUACCAAGGGCUUUUAUUUAUCCCUAGAACUCCUGUAAUUUCCAAGAUGUAUAGACUGGAAGAAGAUAGCCCUGCUACUCAUACUUGAAAGAAAGGAGGAGAGGAGAGGUUGGCCCACCUCCCUCCUGCUCUCCCUCCCUUUCCCAGGCCUCCUUCUCUCUCUUUGCCUUGUCCCUAGCAGGGAAGGAGAUUGGAACAGGCAGCCUUUGGGGACUGUGGGACCCUCUUCCUUAUAGGUCAGAUCCACAGUGGCCCAGGAAGGCCCUACCUGGACAGCGAAUAGUGUCUCUAGGGGGAGGGAAGUUUCCUCCAGGUGGGACCUUUGGUCACAUGGCCUCACAUGGUUUAUGUCUCAGAGUGACAGGUGUUGCUUGUUAUAAGACACAAGAGUAAAAAGCAAAGAAGAGCAGACAAAGGCAGGUCCUCAAGGGAGGUGGGCUCUGCAGGAUUUCCUAAGAGCCAAAAAGGCACAACAAGGGAGCCCAGUGGCACUGGUAGGCUUCUGAGCAUAGGCAUUCCAGGGCUUUGUUAUUAUUUUUUCCAAAUGAAAACCUCUUUAGAAGAUCAACUGUCAUAAUUUGCCCAAGCUACAAGCUCAAACAUGGCUAAGAAACAUUGCUCAAGGUCAUUUCCAAAAGCACGUUCUUCCAGCUUUUCAAGGUCGGGGUGGGGAUUUGUGUUCUGUUCUCAUUUUUGCUUGUGUCUUUGCCCAUGGUUGAACUGAAGAGGUCUCUCCAGGCCCAGUGUUCACCGGAAGAAGGGGAGAUGGAAACUAUUCCCAGCCACUCUUCUCUCAAGAACUGAUGGGGAGUCAUGGGUCCCUGCCCCACUUGUCCAUGUGAGAGGGAAGCAGGUGUGCUUUUACCAGAAAGAGUUCUCGAGGGGUUAGCACCCCAGGAAUGCAUCUAUGCUGACUCUGCUUAUCAUGACUCCCCACCUUCAAAAUACAUCUUAGGGUCACCGCACAUCCCAGAAAGUGGCAACACAGGGGCACCCCUCGAUGUGCCGAGUAUCCAGAGUCAUGUUCUUGGAAUGCGUGACCAGCGUGUAAUUUAAGCAAAUGGAAUCUUUCCCAAAUGUCUUCUUUUACAACUGAAAAAACAAAUUAAGCAACAGAAGAAAAACAAAUCCAGAGAAAUAGCCUCUUCCAGGGAAGUCUGACCUCCCUGUCUAGAAGGUGAGGACAGUGCUGCAGCCGUGUUUCUGCUGGCUCUGGCCCGAGGCUGUCUCCCAGACAGCUGCUGUCCCACUGAGUUAGGUUCAAGCGAACAUGGCCAUUGAGAUCCAAAGUAUUUCUGGCUGGUUCGGGCAUGAGUCCUUUCUCUAGAUGAAUAUUUUAAUGUGGGAAUUCAGAGGAAAGCUAUGGGGAAGGCAGUGUUGGUCAACUGACGACGCUAAAGAAACACCUUCGGUGGUUGUCACGGUGAGUUUGGCACUGAAGGCUCUUUGCUGUUCUGACCUGAAGCUCUCUGUUAGGACUUCCUGCUGUUUUUCUCACAAGCCCUCAUUCUCGCUGACAGUUCAGAUCAUGCCCUGUGCAUAUCCAGUUUCCCCGGUAGGCACGGCUCCUCCUUUCACCUCAGUGCCCCCCUUUCCGCUCGGCCCACACUGGACUCUUGCUACCUCUUGUUUUGGCUUAUGUUUAAUCUUACUUUUUUAAGGCAACAUCUUCUGAUUGUGAAAUAAUUUAUACUUUUUUUUUGCAGAGAAUGUGGAAAAUACAGAAAAGUAUAAGCAGAAGCAUAAAAAUUAUUCACAGUUGCACCCUUGGAGGGAGCUGUCCUAUAAAUCUUGAUGGACUUUCAUCAAAUUCAAAGAAAAAAAAAAAGAUUCCACUGGGAUUUAAUUCAGAUUGCAUUUCACCGAAAAAUUACAAGGAUUAACAACAAGGAUUAACAGCAUUGCUGCAUUCAAUAUUGCAACCCAAGGUUAUGUCUCUCUAUUGACUAUUCUCUUUAAUUAAUCUCUGUAAAAAGUUUGCAUUUUUAAUAUAGGUCUUGGAUAUUUCUUAUUAGUGUUCUUUAUAUUUUUUUCCAAUACUCUUAAGAAUGCAUUUUUCUCCCUAUAUUUUCUGCUUGUUGUUAGAAUAGAAACAGUAUUUAUUUUGGAGAUUUUUGUAUUUUUAUCUUGUAUCUGACCCCUUCCCUAAUUUUUAUUAAUACUAAGAAUUUUACAGUCAGUACUUUUAUAUUAUCUUGGUGCAUAAUCGUACUAUAGUCUGUAAGUAACAAACAUUUUGUUUCCUUCUUUCUAUUGUAGAAUUUGAGAAGUCGUCAGUGUGUAGUCCUGUUACCUUAAUUGUUUCUGAGUUAUGGGUUGAAUUUAUUUUGAAAUUUCAAAAAACUUCAAAGGGUAGUAUGUUAUUUUUGUGUUAAUCAAAAUGAACAAUGGGUUUAAAAAGCUUGAACAACGUCAUCUUGGGAGUGCCAGAUGAAUAGGAUGGCCUGUAUGUCAGGAGCAUGCCCACAUUUUUCUUGAUAGGGUGAGUUUAUUGUCCCGGAUGAAUCCCAGGAGUACUAGUCCAUGAUGCUCUUAUUCCCUGGUGCUUUAACAUGAAGUGCAGCCGGAGUCGGCCUGAACUUUAGGAAAUGAGGUCGUAAGUCGAAAGAACAGGGAAUUGAGAAAGCACACAGAAGCAGCCAGGGCCAACAUUUUCCCCUAAACAAGCCAAUCAACAAAAAGCAAUGCCAAACAAGCCCCUCUGAAACUUUCAAAGUCCUCAUCCUAGUACCUUCCUAGCACUCUAGGAGACAUCUUUCAGCUGUUGAUUUAUGAACGCUGAGAGGCACGUGGAGGAAUUAAUGGAGGUAAAUAUCUAACUUAAAAAAUCUUCAGUAGGCAUUUUUAGACAAUCCUCCUUGAAAGAAAAGUGUGGAUGCUCUGUGCAUGUAUUGACUGCACCUGCAGGGGUAUAGCUGGAGAACACCCAGUGAGCAUCUUCAGGAGCCAAGUCACGCAGGGGCUUAGCUCUCAGUCCAUUGCGACAGUUCCAUGAUGCCUUCUGACCACUAAACACUCUGAACUCUUUUCUCUCAUCCUCUGUUAUUCGCUUUGGACCCAUAACAGACUCAUUAGUUAAAAAUAAGAAGCAAAGGUAAUCCUGAUGUUGAAUUACAAGUUAAUGCAGAGCACAGACAUGAAAAUAAUUCUAUGGGUUUGCUGUAGCAUAAUCCUUGCCAGAUCUCCAAGUUCCAUUCAUCUAAUGAAAAGCCUUAGUUUGAAGAACAUUUUGGAGAACUCUUACAUCAAGAGGUCUCCAGUACCUCAAAAACCAGUGUUCAAAAGGAAAAUGCACACGCAUUUCAGGGAGGUGGGAAUAAAAGCCUUCCUUUGCGCAGCGUGUUACAUGUGGAAAUGUGGAACACACACGAUCAUUCUUACUGUUAAAAAACCCCACAAAGAUUAUAAAAAUAUGUCAGUUUUUUUUUGGUGCAAAAACUCACACGAUUAAAAAUAUUAUACUAUGAAAGCAGCUUUGAUCUAUUCUUCAGUCAUUUCUGUGACGUGUGGUUAAAUUUUAAUCUGUUUAAAUUUUUUAUUUGAUUCUUCCAAACCAAACACAAUAUCUCAUUUUAAAACGUAUCUGCUGAUAGUGGUUUUUCUUCUCGCCUGAAUCAUGCUGAGAACAGGUGUAACCAGAUGUCCUCUUAGCCUACAAACACAUUUCAGAAAAUCAUUAUAAGAUGCUCAAUUAACUUUGAGCAAAGUAGUUUCCUGUAUCCUUCAAAGAAAGACAUGUUUUCAAAAUGUCACUGCAGUAAAUAAAAGUGUUGACAUGCUGUGUAGGGCUAUUAGUUAUGGGGCCAGAAUUCAAAAUAGCUGAUUGGAAGUAGGGCCAGUUGUCUAUCAAAGUAUUUCUAAUUUAUGGCAACGAAAUCAUGUUAUCUGCAUAGAACAGAACUCAGCUCUCCCUACUUCUCUGUGAUGGGGGAUGUAUACUGUAUCUGGCUCAUCUAAAAGUGGUUCCAAAUCACUAACAAAUAUGAAUGGGUGUUAGACUAUGCUCCUAUUCACCCCCACUGGAAAAUCUUAUCGGAUAAAAGACAGUUUUGAUGUCCUUUGCUUUGAUGUUAAAGUAUGGGCUUCCUGAAUACAUCAAUACAGGGGUCUGAACUGAUCUUAGUACAUUUCAAAGCAUUUCUUGUCAAUGGGAGUCAAAACUCAAUGCAAGCUACAGCCUCAUGUUAUUCCUAAAAGAUUUAUCUUUGGAGUAAUAAACAGUAAGCCAAUUGUCCUUAAGACCACUACACUUAAAUCCUUGGUUCUCGUAUACAACAUUAGCUCCAGACAGCUAUAACUGGAUGUAAUCAAGAAAGAAAUGGUGUUAAAAGUUAAAAAAAUUUAGAAUUAUAAAAGCAUGAAAAUAGCUGCUUACUAUAAAAAUGUUAAAUACGAGACUCUACAUAAUAAAAAGUGAAAGCUGUAAUUUACCUGCUCCCCAUCUCUCCUUCUCCCCAGUGCAACUCUCCUGCCUGGGUCUGCAGGACAAACUCUGGUCCUCCAGCAAGGAUUUAUGUUAUCUGAAGUUUAUUUAUGGCAAAGAGAUUUUUAUAAUUAAUACUGUGAUAAGACAUGGUACUCUUUGACCAGGAAUAUUUUUUGGGGUGUGGGGGUGGGGGUUAGGACUCGAGUUCUUAUGAAACAGUCACAAGGAGUUUAAUCAGAAGGCACAAUCACUUGCUAGGUAGCAAGAGAAAAAAUCCUGCCCCUCACUGUUUCCUAGAGAUUGCUGUCGAGGGUCUGUGAGAAAUCAACACAUGGCCACUAUGGCUUGGCAUACUUACUUUCCUAAUCAUCCAAAUCAACUAUUGCAAACACCUAAAAAAGAGUGAGAAAUGGAGCCAAAUGUGAUAUAAUCUAUGAUCUUGGCCCCAGAGUAGAAAUGAGGUUGGUUUUUUUCAGAUUUAUGCCAUGUACCACAUUGAAUGUUAUCAAUACUGUACAUGAAUACAAGGGUUGAGGGUUUUUGUUUCCAUUAAGAAUCUGUUUCCAGGAGAACAGCCCAUGGGAAAGUAUUGUCCUUUUUCAACUACAAAUAUGGAGGGCCCCAUUGCCUAUGUUAAAAAAAAAUCUCAGAAUUUUGGCUUAGGCAAUAAACUCUUUAGUGGAACAUACAGAGUAAAUAAAAGAUCUCUAAAGGGAGACCACAGGCCCCAAGCAGACAGAAUGGACCAAACAUACAGAAGGAAUGUAAAUAUAGCUGACUUCAGUUUUAUUUUAUUUUUAAAUUGAGAUAAGCUAAUUUCUUCCCUUGAAAAACCCACUUGAGCAUACCUCUUAGUUAUGCAGAAACAGAGUAAGCACUCAUUAUAUUUUAUGGAUUUAAAGUGCUCCAGAACCUUCUGAGACUUGCCCUGAAUCUCCUGAAUGCAAAGCUAAUUAUAUGAGGAGGUGGGCCUACUUACAUAGGAGCUAGUGUCUUCUGGGAAAGACUCCAGCCCCUAGGUCCUGGUGUCCAAUGGUCCAAAGUCUUUUGGAAUGGAUAAGAGUGGACCAGAUUAAGGCACAAAAUAACAGCUUGAGAAAAGACUGGUGACCCAGGCUUACUGUACAAGGAAGGUGUAAGUUGGAUGAAAGGGUGGGAUUCUAGUACAAAAUGUGGUAGAGAUGGAUGCAACCCCCUAACCCGGUGACACAGGCAUACUGGAUGUGCUUUGGAAAUAGUAACUGUGUGUGUGUGUGCUCAACGGAGCACCAUGUGUUGAGUUUAAUGCCAUGGAAGUCAAAAUACCAUCUUCCUUUGAAGCCUGUGGCCUGCACAGGGCCAUGCAAAAUCGUCACUGCUGGAUGAGCAGGAGUCCAGGGGACUGCACAGGGUCAUGUGUGUUCAACAGCGACACCAUGUGGCAGCGAGACCCAACAAGGAGACAGAAGCUGUUGGAAUGCAGGCCUCUUUCCCUGUGACAUUUGAAAGCAUCAACACAGUCUUCGCACGGGAGUCCAAUCUGCCAGAGAAGGGCAAAGCAAAUCGGGCCUUAUAUUAAAUUCCUGGAAGUCAAACUUCCUGGUCCAAUGAGGAACUUCUCAAGGGCCUUUGCUGGAGAAAGGAUGUUCAGCAAGAAUGAAGGACAGCUUCGUUCAGAUGGAUGAGCUUAGUGCAUCCUGAGCGGUGAGCUGACCGGGGCCCAGUUCUUCCUUCUACAUAUGGGGCCCAUCGCAUUCCCACUGACUCAGAUGCUGAGGGGCCAGACUGAAGGGACAGUGGCCAUUGCAUCAAGUCAGAGAACGGAUCUGACCCAUCUAGUAGAAGCUUAUUGUUUUGGCAGAAGCACAAGCUCUUAGAGGUGCAGCUGCAGGGUGUGACCUGUUGGGGACAUUGAGCUCAGUGACCAUGGGCCCUGAGAGUCUGAAAUCCUGGAAUUUCUCCCAAAACGAAGUCCAUGUAGGGAAGCCAAAGUGUGAGUCUUACCCGGCUGGUUUACAACUGACUGACAUUUGCUGCCUGGGCAGCUGCUGUGGGUGUCUGGAAACCCUACUGGACUAGGACUGGCCCCAGCAAAAAACAAGUGUUAUAGCUGCCCAGUGUCCUCUGAGUGGAUGCUGGUGAUUCUGGUAUGGAGCCCAGAUGUAAGGCAGCAGGUGGUCCAGAAGGCACCAGAAGAGGUCUCCUGUCAAAGUCAGGGCCAGAGAAGAAGGCACAGGGAACCUACUGCACGAGACUUUCACUUGCAACGAGCAACCCAUGAUGAGGAGGGAGGAUUCCUGGGGGCAUUGAGUCCCCCAGACACAAGGACCCAAGACCUUCUUGCUUGGAAAGUGAAUUACUCAGAAUUCCGAGAUGAUGCCAGUCUUGGAGGAAGAUGACAUGAGGACCCAAAACCUUCUUGCUUGGAAAGUGAAUUCCUGAGAAUUCCGAGAUGAUGCCAGUCUUGGAGAAAGAUGACAUGAGGACCCAAAACCUUCUUGCUUGGAAAGUGAAUUCCUGAGAAUUCCGAGAUGAUGCCAGUCUUGGAGGAAGAUGACAUGAGGACCCAAAACCUUCUUGCUUGGAAAGUGAAUUUCUCAGAACUCCACGAAGACUCCAGUCUUGGAGGAAGAUGACAUGAGGACCCAAAACCUUCUUGCUUGGAAAGUGAAUUCCUCAGAACUCCACGAAGACUCCAGUCUUGGAGGAAGACGAGGUGUUGAGAGAUAGCUGGGAUCCCUGAGGAAGGCAGCCCCAGUCUCCGGUGGAGAAUUAAGAGGGGCCCAAGCAGAUGGUUGGUGGUGGAAACGUCACCUCAGUAUAGUACUAUGGAGUUUCCUUUCACCCCCAACAGCUGGUGGUUUCCAGGGGUGAAGAGUGAAAAUUGAAGCAAGGUGUCUACUGUCCAGCUGUAGACAAGGAGGCAGUGCGCCUGCCAUCCCCAAGGAAGAGUCAGUUCAGAAGCACAGCAGCUGCUGGAAACCCAGGAGGUUUCCAGUUCGUUCCUGCUGGGACCUGGCAAGAACUGCACUGUCAAGGCUGCAAGAGGCUCCUGACGGCUUCUGACAUGUACGGAAUGGAAUAAGAGAACCUAGCAGAAAUGGAAGCAGAGGCAAGAGGUCUGGAGGCCAGGAAAAUGUCAAUGGAAAGCAGCUAGCAUGAAGACCCCACAGUGUUCCUCCCUCUAGUAGUCUGGUAUUAUUUGGAGCUGAGAUGCUCCCAAUAUGGUUGGGACAUUUGUCCCCUCCAAAUCUCAUGUGAGAAUUUGAUCCCCCGUUUUGGGGAUGGGGUCUAAUGGGAGGAGUUUGGGUCAUGAUGGGGGACCCCUCAUGAAUGGCUUUGUGCCCUGCUCACCAGGAAUGAAUGAGCUCUCACUCUACUAGUUCACUGGAGAGCUGGUUGUUUAAAGAGCCUGGCAUCUCCCCCACUUUCUCUCUUGCUCCCCCUUCUCACUGUGUGAUAUACCUGCUCCCCUUUGCCAUCCAUCAUGAGUGGAAGCUUCUUGAAGCCUCCACCUAAAGCAGAUGCCGACACUAUGCUUCCUGCACAGCCUGCCAUACCAUGAGCCAAUAAACCUGUUUUCUUUGUAAAUUA